GACGAGCGCUGGCGGCGUGCUUAACACAUGCAAGUCGAACGGUGAAGGGGCCUGCUUUUGUGGGCCCUGGAUGAGUGGCGAACGGGUGAGUAACACGUGAGUAACCUGCCCCCUUCUUCUGGAUAACCGCAUGAAAGUGUGGCUAAUACGGGAUAUUCUGGGUCUGUCGCAUGAUGGGUCUGGGAAAGAUUGCGCCUUUGGGUGUUUUUGGUGGGGGAUGGGCUCGCGGCCUAUCAGCUUGUUGGUGGGGUGAUGGCCUACCAAGGCGGUGACGGGUAGCCGGGCUGAGAGGGUGGACGGUCACACUGGGACUGAGACACGGCCCAGACUCCUACGGGAGGCAGCAGUGGGGAAUAUUGCACAAUGGGCGCAAGCCUGAUGCAGCGACGCCGCGUGAGGGAUGGAGGCCUUCGGGUUGUAAACCUCUUUCGCCAGUGAAGCAGGCCUGCUCCUUGUGGGUGGGUUGACGGUAGCUGGAGAAGAAGCGCCGGCUAACUACGUG
RNAcentral lists this ribosomal RNA (502 nucleotides) under uncultured bacterium. Its description in RNAcentral is "partial 16S ribosomal RNA". It matches the Rfam family "Bacterial small subunit ribosomal RNA", at positions 28 to 507 of the family's 1533-position model. The record is from RNAcentral.